This is a long non-coding RNA of Bombus pascuorum, 1535 nucleotides long. RefSeq lists it as uncharacterized. The transcript is spliced from 3 exons. The record is from RefSeq and is a predicted model, not a curated record. Lineage: Eukaryota; Metazoa; Arthropoda; Insecta; Hymenoptera; Apidae.
UACUUUUAAAUUUAUAUUAAUUGAAACAAUAUUCAUAUAAUACAUCACAAAAAUGGUGGGCACUGCACUUUGUUUUAAAAUAAUUAUUGAUCACAUUUUUAGAUUGGGUAAUUAUUACGUUAUUAAGUAAUUUUGUAAAUAAACAGAAAAUAAAUUACACUACAUAAUGAUUUUUAAAUAAGAAAUGGCCAAAUUAUUUUUUUCUCCGUAGGAUGUACAAAGGCAUUCUCUUACAUUAUAAUUUUUUCUUAUACAUACUCAAGUAUUUUGAUCCUUAAAGAUAACACACAAUAUAUUUUUAUUAAAUCAAGAUGCUUUACUACCUGAAUCUUAACUUAUAAGUAUAUUUUGCAUUUGCAAUUUAAAUGAAAAUUAAGAAAGUUAUAAAAUAAUGUUUUGCAGAUGAAAACUGAAAAAAUCCAUAAAAGCAAAAGAUUGUUAUAGUUUUGUAUUAGAGCUUAUCAAAACUAACAAUAUAAUGAAAGCACAAAAUGAAAACAAAAAUGAAAACAAAAAUGAAAAUACAUAUCCACUUCUACCAGAUGAAUCUUUUAAAAGAAAUAAUAAUGCUGCAUUUGUUUAUUAAAAUUUUAUGAAUUAUGGUCAUUUAUCAGCUGUAUAUUUCAUGGCAUUAGAUCUUAAUACUGAUGUAUUAGUAACUGCAGGUAGAGAUUCUACUGCAAGGGUAUGGAACAUGUGAACCAAAAUAAAUGUACAUACACUUGUUGGUCACACUAACACAGUUGCUAGUGUAAUUCAUCAAAUAACUGUACCACAGGUAUCAAGAUUCAUCAAAUCAUGUUAUGUUAUAUAUCCUAUAAAAGAUAUUUAACUAUAUAUAUUUUUACUUAUUUUCUUUACUAACUUAUCACGAGAAGUCACGAUUGUACUGUAUGAUUAUGGGAUUUAGAUAUUGAAAAAUCUAGAGCUACUUUAAGAAGUCACAAGAAAAAUAAAAGAGUUGUCUUCUCAUCCAUCACUAUAUAUGUUCGCAUCAGCAUCUCCAGAUAACACCAAGCAAUGGAAAUGUUCAAAAGGAAAAUUUAUUCAGAAUUUAUGUGGCUAUAAUGCAACAGUUAAUUGUUUAGCUGUUAAUGCUGAUGGCGUACUAGUUUCUGGAGCAGGCAAUGGGAAUCUCUAGAAAUAAAGAACAGGGCAAAUAUGAUACUUCAUAUAAAGAUUGUAUUUUUUCAAUUAAUUUCCAGCAUUGUUUAUGAUAUCUAUAUAGAUAUAUUUUAAGGUAUAAUUUCCAAUGCUUACAAGCACCAAUUCAACCAGGCUCAAUGGACAGUGAAGUUGGAGUAUUUAGUAGUACAUUCGAUAUAUCUAGUACUCAUAUAAUUACAAGAGAAGGAGACAAAACAGUAAAAGUAUAUAAAAAUGAUACUGCUGUAAGAGAAUUAUUUUUUAAAUAUUAUCGUGCCAAUAAUUAAUAUAAAAGGACACAAUUUCUUUUUUAUUAUUAUUUUCAGACUAAAGAGAUACAUCCUGUAAACUGGGAGUUGGAUAUAAUAAAGCACAGAAAAUAUUAAGCA